UCCAUGAGUAAAGUGGCGCACGGGUGAGUAACACGUGACUAACCUACCCUUGAGUGGGGAAUAACUUCGGGAAACCGAGGCUAAUACCGCAUAACACCUACGGGUCAAAGGAGCAAUUCGCUUAAGGAGGGGGUCGCGGCAGAUUAGUUAGUUGGCGGGGUAAUGGCCCACCAAGACAGUGAUCUGUAUCCGGCCUGAGAGGGCGCACGGACACACUGGAACUGAAACACGGUCCAGACUCCUACGGGAGGCAGCAGUGGGGAAUUUUGCGCAAUGGGGGAAACCCUGACGCAGCAACGCCGCGUGGAGGAUGAAGUCUCUUGGGACGUAAACUCCUUUCGACCGGGACGAUAAUGACGGUACCGGAAGAAGAAGCCCCGGCUAACUUCGUGCCAGCAGCCGCGGUAAUACGAGGGGGGCGAGCGUUGUUCGGAAUUAUUGGGCGUAAAGGGUGCGUAGGCGGUUCGGUAAGUCUUGUGUGAAAUCUUCGGGCUCAACUCGAAGUCUGCACGAGAAACUGCCGGGCUUGAGUGUGGGAGAGGUGAGUGGAAUUUCCGGUGUAGCGGUGAAAUGCGUAGAUAUCGGAAGGAACACCUGUGGCGAAAGCGGCUCACUGGACCACAACUGACGCUGAG
Molecule: ribosomal RNA, 635 nt
Filed under: Silvibacterium sp.
Lineage: Bacteria; Pseudomonadati; Acidobacteriota; Terriglobia; Terriglobales; Acidobacteriaceae
Description: bacterial SSU rRNA
Rfam family: Bacterial small subunit ribosomal RNA
Source: RNAcentral